CCUACGGGGGGCUGCAGUGGGGAAUAUUGCACAAUGGGGGAAACCCUGAUGCAGCGACGCCGCGUGAGCGAUGAAGUAUUUCGGUAUGUAAAGCCCUAUCAGCAGGGAAGAAAAUGACGGUAACUGACUAAGAAGCCCCCGCUAACUACGUGCCAGCAGCCGCGGUAAUACGGAGGGGGCAAGCGUUAACCGGAUUUACUGGGUGGAAAGGGAGCGUAGACGGCGGUGCAAGCCAGAUGUGAAAGCCCGGGGCUCAACCCCGGGACUGCAUUUGGAACUGUGCUGCUAGAGUGUCGGAGAGGCAGGCGGAAUUCCUGGUGUAGCGGUGAAAUGCGUAGAUAUUAGGAGGAACACCAGUGGCGAAGGCGGCCUGCUGGACGAUGACUGACGUUGAGGCUCGAAAGCGUGGGGAGCAAACAGGAUUAGAUACACGUGUAGUC
RNAcentral lists this ribosomal RNA (440 nucleotides) under uncultured bacterium. RNAcentral describes it as "partial 16S ribosomal RNA". It matches the Rfam family "Bacterial small subunit ribosomal RNA", at positions 338 to 795 of the family's 1533-position model. The record is from RNAcentral.